This 345-nucleotide transfer-messenger RNA is filed under the name Clostridia bacterium. It matches the Rfam family "transfer-messenger RNA". From Rfam's summary of the family: Bacterial tmRNA, also known as 10Sa RNA or SsrA, is named for its dual tRNA and mRNA-like properties. Its role is to liberate the mRNA from a stalled ribosome. Lineage: Bacteria; Bacillati; Bacillota; Clostridia. The record is from RNAcentral.
GGGGAUGCACCGGAUUUGAUUAUUUGGGGAGGCAUUUGUAAGCGUAUCGAAGCUCCGCCUUCGUUAAAACGGAAACUUUAAAAUUAAAUGCAAACAAUAAUCGUUUAGCAUACGCUGCCUAAUGGCGGCUGCCCAAUACGGUUUACCAUCGGGCUGUAACGGGUAUCAUUAUUAGAUGGGACGUUGUUUUUAGUUUUGGUUGUGGCUUUAAGCAACUAUUUAGCAACACACGGCGAUAAAGGUUUUUUCGCUUUCCUAUAUCGCAAGGGAUAAAAACGAAAUACGUACGUAGAAAGCAGUGUUGAGCCAGGUAAGACGUGAGUUCGACUCUCACCAUCUCCACCA